UACGUAGGGUGCGAGCGUUAAUCGGAAUUACUGGGCGUAAAGCGUGCGCAGGCGGUUUUGUAAGCCAGAUGUGAAAUCCCCGGGCUUAACCUGGGAAUGGCAUUUGGGACUGCAAGGCUGGAGUAUGGCAGAGGGGACUAGAAUUCCUGGUGUAGCAGUGAAAUGCGUAGAUAUCAGGAGGAAUACCGAUGGCGAAGGCAGGUCCCUGGGCCAAUACUGACGCUCAUGCACGAAAGCGUGGGGAG
This 245-nucleotide ribosomal RNA is filed under the name uncultured bacterium. Its description in RNAcentral is "partial 16S ribosomal RNA". It matches the Rfam family "Bacterial small subunit ribosomal RNA", at positions 524 to 768 of the family's 1533-position model. The record is from RNAcentral.